AUUGAACGCUGGCGGCAGGCUUAACACAUGCAAGUCGAGCGGAGAGAGGUAGCUUGCUACUGAUCUUAGCGGCGGACGGGUGAGUAAUGCUUAGGAAUCUGCCUAUUAGUGGGGGACAACAUUUCGAAAGGAAUGCUAAUACCGCAUACGUCCUACGGGAGAAAGCAGGGGAUCUUCGGACCUUGCGCUAAUAGAUGAGCCUAUGUCGGAUUAGCUAGUUGGUGGGGUAAAGGCCUACCAAGGCGACGAUCUGUAGCGGGUCUGAGAGGAUGAGCCGCCACCCUGGGACUGAGACACGGCCCGGACUCCUACGGGAGGCAGCAGUGGGGAAUAUUGGACAAUGGGCGCAAGCCUGAUCCAGCCAUGCCGCGUGUGUGAAGAAGGCCUUAUGGUUGUAAAGCACUUUAAGCGAGGAGGAGGCUACUUUAGUUAAUACCUAGAGAUAGUGGACGUUACUCGCAGAAUAAGCACCGGCUAACUCUGUGCCAGCCGCCGCCGUAA
RNAcentral lists this ribosomal RNA (501 nucleotides) under uncultured bacterium. Its description in RNAcentral is "partial 16S ribosomal RNA". It matches the Rfam family "Bacterial small subunit ribosomal RNA", at positions 30 to 523 of the family's 1533-position model. The record is from RNAcentral.